Molecule: ribosomal RNA, 468 nt
Filed under: uncultured bacterium
Lineage: Bacteria
Description: partial 16S ribosomal RNA
Rfam family: Bacterial small subunit ribosomal RNA
Source: RNAcentral
GACGAACGCUGGCGGCGUGCUUAACACAUGCAAGUCGAACGGAAAGGCCCUGCUUUUGUGGGGUGCUCGAGUGGCGAACGGGUGAGUAACACGUGAGUAACCUGCCCUUGACUUUGGGAUAACUUCAGGAAACUGGGGCUAAUACCGGAUAGGAGCUCCUGCUGCAUGGUGGGGGUUGGAAAGUUUCGGCGGUUGGGGAUGGACUCGCGGCUUAUCAGCUUGUUGGUGGGGUAGGGGCUUACCAAGGCUUUGACGGGUAGCCGGCCUGAGAGGGUGACCGGCCACCUUGGGACUGAGAUACGGACCAGACUCCUACGGGAGGCAGCAGUGGGGAAUAUUGCACAAUGGGCGGAAGCCUGAUGCAGCAACGCCGCGUGCGGGAUGACGGCCUUCGGGUUGUAAACCGCUUUCGCCUGUGACGAAGCGUGAGUGACGGUAAUGGGUAAAGAAGCACCGGCUAACUACGUG